RNAcentral lists this long non-coding RNA (1820 nucleotides) under Linum usitatissimum (flax). Its description in RNAcentral is "long non-coding RNA (LUSI_LNC002448)". The record is from RNAcentral. Lineage: Eukaryota; Viridiplantae; Streptophyta; Magnoliopsida; Malpighiales; Linaceae.
CCAAUGAAGCCAUACAAGUACAAGUCACCACCACCGCCGCCAGUCUAUAAGUCUCCUCCACCACCGGUGUACAAGUACAAAUCUCCUCCCCCGCCGGUUUACAAGUACAAGUCACCACCACCGCCGCCAGUCUAUAAGUCUCCUCCACCACCGGUGUACAAGUACAAAUCUCCUCCCCCGCCGGUUUACAAGUACAAGUCACCACCGCCACCGGUGUACAAGUCGCCUCCUCCACCAACAAAGCCAUACAAGUACAAGUCUCCACCACCACCAGUCUAUAAGUCACCACCGCCACCGGUUUACAAGUAAAAACCCCCCCCGCCACCGGUGUACAAGUAUAAGUCACCGCCGCCUCCAGUCUACAAGUCUCCUCCGCCACCAGUUUACAAGUACAAAUCACCGCCGCCGCCAGUCUAUAAGUCACCACCGCCUCCAAUGAAGCCAUACAAGUACAAGUCACCACCACCGCCGCCGGUUUACAAGUCUCCUCCUCCGCCGGUGUACAAGUACAAAUCACCGCCGCCGCCAGUCUAUAAGUCACCACCGCCUCCAAUGAAGCCAUACAAGUACAAGUCACCACCACCGCCGCCAGUCUAUAAGUCUCCUCCACCACCGGUGUACAAGUACAAAUCACCACCGCCACCGGUUUACAAGUACAAGUCACCGCCGCCGCCGGUGCACAAACCACCUCCACAUUACAUCUCUGCGUCACCCCCUCCACCAUACCACGUCUAGAUGAGUCAACCCCCCAAGGUAAUACUACUAAUCAACAACUCAUAUCCAAUCACUGAAUAAGGGGCCGUUUGACAUAGAGAAAAUAUAUUUGUAUUUGUGGGAAAAUUAUUUAUUUUGAAAUUAACAUAUUUGCAUUAGUGACAAAUAUCACAAAUAUUUUUAGUUAUCAUUGGUUUAUCUUAUUCUGAAAAACAAUAACGUAAUUCUAAUUUCCUCAAAUAAAAAAUUUAGUUCUAUUAUUUAUGAAAUAUACAUAUCAAACAUUAUAGCCUAGCAAGUUUUUAUUAAUUAAUAAUACUGACCCCUCUCUCAACAACUCGAGCUAUUGGAGAUACGAUGAUCGAUUUUGGACAUGGUAUCAUAGAUUUAAAAAACCAAGAGGUCUCCUUUUCAAAUCCCGACAGUCUCCAUUCCGUACAUAUGACUUAUCGUGUGAACCUCAUUUCUUCUUAAAACUUCUGUCUGAAGGGCAUAUUAAUGAAUACUAUAUACAAAAUUGAUCUGAACCUUCCCCCAACAACUUACAAUGCAACGAUUCAUGACAAUUUUCUCGAUUUAGUACUCGAUACUCGGUACGAAACGGUGCCUUAAUUACUAACUUGUGUCUUGGUCCUUGUGUGUUUGCAGGGGAAAGGGCAGAAAGCGAGUUGCCGCGUUUGAAAGACCGAGUACUAUCCUAGGACCAAUGUCGUCGUGUCUUUUUCAGAAAGAGGAAAUUAUUAUUAAAUAAACGUGUUAAUUAAUUAGCAGCAACUUGCAUGGUGAUUAUAUUUAAAUGUUUUGUAUUGUUAUUUGGAACAUUCGCAUUCAAAUGUCGAUUAGGACAUAAUUAAAUUAAACACCUUUGUACUAUUUUGAGUUAUGCAUUGUAAUAAUAAUAACAAAAGCUUUCUUAAUAUUUUCAGUGUCGAGAUUGACACAAAGCGAAUUGUAUCGUAUGUAUACGACUUUACUCGGACGAUUACAGCUGUAGAUGAUCGUUCUUGGUUUGUUUCGGCAGUUCGAUAAUAAAAAAGAAUGAUUGUAUUGUAUACAUUAGUUGGAAGGUUAUUGGGUUAGUGACCCUUCCAUAUGUUCAAAACUAU